This 73-nucleotide transfer RNA is filed under the name Balaenoptera acutorostrata scammoni. RNAcentral's name for it is "tRNA-Trp (CCA) (tRNA-Trp-CCA-23-1)". It matches the Rfam family "tRNA". From Rfam's summary of the family: Transfer RNA (tRNA) molecules are approximately 80 nucleotides in length. Lineage: Eukaryota; Metazoa; Chordata; Mammalia; Artiodactyla; Balaenopteridae. The record is from RNAcentral.
UCCCUGGUGGUCCAGUGGCUAAGACUCCAUGCUCCCAAUGCAGGAGGCCCAGGUUCGAUUCCUGGUCAGGGAG